AGUUAAUGAACUUGAAUAAGUUUAUGUUUUGAAAACAUAGUAUAGUGGUACAUCCCCCUAUUAACUU
RNAcentral lists this transfer RNA (67 nucleotides) under Mystonectes coelamboides. RNAcentral's name for it is "tRNA-Ser". The record is from RNAcentral. Lineage: Eukaryota; Metazoa; Arthropoda; Insecta; Coleoptera; Dytiscidae.